This 460-nucleotide ribosomal RNA is filed under the name uncultured bacterium. RNAcentral's name for it is "partial 16S ribosomal RNA". It matches the Rfam family "Bacterial small subunit ribosomal RNA", at positions 338 to 795 of the family's 1533-position model. The record is from RNAcentral.
CCUACGGGAGGCAGCAGUGAGGAAUAUUGGUCAAUGGACGAGAGUCUGAACCAGCCAAGUCGCGUGAAGGAUGACUGCCCUAGGGGUUGUAAACUUCUUUUAUAUGGGAAUAAAAUGUUGCAAGUGAGGGAUGUUGUAUGUACCAUAUGAAUAAGGAUCGGCUAACUCCGUGGCAGCAGCCGAGGUAAUACGGAGGUUCCGAGCGUUAUCAGGUGUGAUUGGGGUUAAAGGGAGCGUAGGUGGAUUGUUAAGUCAGUUGUGAAAGUUUGCGGCUCAACCGUGAAAUUGCAGUUGAAACUGGCAGUCUUGAGUACAGUAGAGGUGGGCGGAAUUCGUGGUGUAGCGGUGAAAUGCUUAGAUAUCACGAAGAACUCCGAUUGCGAAGGCAGCUUACUGGACUGCAACUGACACUGAGGCUCGAAGGUGUGGGUAUCAAACAGGAUUAGAUACCCUAGUAGUC